GAUGAACGCUGGCGGCGUGCCUAAUACAUGCAAGUCGAGCGAACAGAUGAGGAGCUUGCUCCUCUGACGUUAGCGGCGGACGGGUGAGUAACACGUGGAUAACCUACCUAUAAGACUGGGAUAACUUCGGGAAACCGGAGCUAAUACCGGAUAAUAUAUUGAACCGCAUGGUUCAAUAGUGAAAGACGGUUUUGCUGUCACUUAUAGAUGGAUCCGCGCCGCAUUAGCUAGUUGGUAAGGUAACGGCUUACCAAGGCAACGAUGCGUAGCCGACCUGAGAGAGGGAUCGGCAACAAUGGAACUGAGACACGGUCCAGACUCCUACGGGAGGCAGCAGUAGGGAAUCUUCAGCAAUGGGCGAAAGCCUGACGGAGCAACGCAGCGUGAGUGAUGAAGGUCUUCGGAUCGUAAAACUCUGUUAUUAGGGAAGAACAAAUGUGUAAGUAACUAUGCACGGCGUGACGGUACCUAAUCAGAAAGCCACGGCUAACUACGUG
Molecule: ribosomal RNA, 497 nt
Filed under: uncultured bacterium
Lineage: Bacteria
Description: partial 16S ribosomal RNA
Rfam family: Bacterial small subunit ribosomal RNA
Source: RNAcentral